CGGAGGGAGAGCUUGGCAGGGCGGCAUGACGGGCUGGUCUGCACCAGCAGAACGGAGGGAGAGAUUGAAAAAGAGUGUCCGCCUGCAAUGGCGAGGAAGAAGAGUUCGAAAGCAGCAUGGACGGCUGCUCUCCGGCUGGUAUUGAAGGUAGAGCUUGGCAAGAGAGAAUGGGAGAGCUCUACUGUCUCGAGCAUGGCAUCCAGCCCCAAUGGCAUCAUGCCCACUUGCCCAGGUAAGCUUCUUCUCUGUUCCAAUUCUUGCACUUGUUGGUUUUUUACUUUCAGAGCUGUGGGAAAUAUCAGAUGGUGUGUGUCUUCUUUGAUGGUACAAGUAUUUUAAACUGACACCGUAUGAUAAUAUAUGAUUGCUAUAAUGAACAAAGGUUGUAUUUUUUAAUUGAUUGGUACGCAAUUGUUGUCUUACCUGAUCACUUGCUCAUUUCCUUUCUUGAAAAUGCCAGAUUAUUAAUUUCCUUAUAAGGAUAUAUAAAGAUACAGGCAAUCUUUUUAUAACUUUUCUGAAAUCUGACAUAAAUGAAAAUGUCUGAUAUUCAAAUUAGUUAGAUUACUUUCUCGACUCCUAGCAGUGCACCUAAAUUUGAGUACCGAUGUUUCAGGGUACUAUUUUGUUUUUUGAGAACCACGUAAAAGUCACAGUUCCAGUGUGAUCAGCUAAGAGUUUUUGUACACAACAUUGAUUCUAUUUUUCUCAAACCAUUUAUUUAGCUUGAAUAACUGGUGUUUUGUUGUUCUACGGACUGAAUUUGUAGACCAACAUGGCUCGUGUGUAUUAAUUCAUCAAUGUCUCUGGCUAGUACAAGGCAGACCAUAGAUUCCUCCCGACGAAGAUUGAUGUGGCGCGAUGGAGAGCUUGGUGUGUGCGGCCUGCUGAUGGCGCUCGGGGCGAUG
RNAcentral lists this long non-coding RNA (908 nucleotides) under Triticum aestivum (bread wheat). RNAcentral describes it as "long non-coding RNA (TAES_LNC017104)". The record is from RNAcentral. Lineage: Eukaryota; Viridiplantae; Streptophyta; Magnoliopsida; Poales; Poaceae.